ACUUGGGGGUCCCCAUGGGGUUUUUGGGGUGGGCUUGGGGGUUAUUGCGUUCAUUUUGGGGGGUCUCGGGGUUGGAGGGGGCUUUUGGGGGGGGCUGUACCCCAAAGUGAGGGAUUUUUGGGGUCCCCUGUGGAUCUCAUGGGAAGGAUUUGGGGGUCCUCAUGGGGUUUGGGGCAUGGGUUUGGGGGUCAUUGUCUUUUUGGGGGUCUUGGAAGAGGUUAAAGGGGAGAGUUGGGGAGGAUCUGUUUUUUUGGGGGGGCUGUACCCCCGAAUUGGAGGGAUUUGGGUCCUCAUGGCUCUCAGGAUGAGAUUUUGGGGUUGGGGGUCAUCAUGUCCUUUUUGGAGUCUUGGAAGGGGCUGGAGGGGUGAAAUGGGGGGAGCUGGGGAUUUGGGGGUGGGGCUGUACCCCCCAAAUUAAUGGGGUCUCCUCCCCCCCACACACACCCCCCUAGAUCUUGGUAGACACGCGGGCGCUGCAGAAGGAGAUCAAUGCGCUGGUGGGGAAACUGGAGCGGACGUUCAGCGUCACCGACGAGCUGCUCUUCAAGGUUUGGGGGGGCUGGGGGGGGUCCUGAAGGGUUUGGGGGGGUCCUGAGGGGUUUGGGGGGUCGUGGUAAGGGAGUAUAGGGAGCUCUGGGGAAUUUGAGGGGGGGUUUUGGGGGGGCUCAAACUCUGCAUGGGUACAGUUGGGGUAUCCCAGAGUCCCAAAUCCUGUAAGGAAGGGGAUCCCGGAGCCCCCCGACCUAUGGGGGACCCCAAAACUCAGCCCAAAGGGGACCCCAGAGCGCCUGGGACCCCCAAACCUACCAGAGAGAGACCCAGGGACCCCAACCCACACAGGUCCCCAAAACCCAACACAGACCAGGCGACCCCAAAACCCAUCCCAGAGGGGACCCCAAAGUCCCAUCACAGAGAGACUGGGGUACCCCAAAACCCACCAAAAUGGGACCCAGGGACCCCCAAACCCAUUGGAAUGUGACUCAGGGACCCCAAUCUCUCCCCCCCCCCCCCCAAAUUUUGCCUCUCCCCAGGAUGCCAAGCGGGAUGAGGUGGUGAGGAAGGCCUACAAGUACCUGGCAGCACUGCACGAGGUAAUGGGGGCGGGGGUCUAAUUCUGGGGGGGGGUGGGAGCUG
This 1134-nucleotide long non-coding RNA is filed under the name Numida meleagris (helmeted guineafowl). Its description in RNAcentral is "lncRNA (ENSNMEG00000004159.1)". The record is from RNAcentral. Lineage: Eukaryota; Metazoa; Chordata; Aves; Galliformes; Numididae.